Molecule: ribosomal RNA, 491 nt
Filed under: uncultured bacterium
Lineage: Bacteria
Description: bacterial SSU rRNA
Rfam family: Bacterial small subunit ribosomal RNA
Source: RNAcentral
GACGAACGCUGGCGGCGUGCCUGACACAUGCAAGUCGGACGGUUCUUGUACCUUCAAGCUUGCUUGUUGGUGCAAGGAUAGUGGCGGACGGGUGAGUAACGCGUGAACAUCUACCCAUUGGAGGGGGACAACCCGUCGAAAGGCGGGCUAAUACCGCGUAAGCCGCGAGGUGAGAGGCUGCCUAUUGGUGGCCGCCGAUGGAUGGGUUCGCGUCCUAUCAGCUGGUUGGUGGGGUAACGGCCUACCAAGGCGAAGACGGGUAGCCGGUCUGAGAGGAUGGCCGGCCACACUGGAACUGAGACACGGUCCAGACUCCUACGGGAGGCAGCAGUGGGGAAUAUUGGGCAAUGGGGGAGACCCUGACCCAGCGACGCCGCGUGAGGGACGAAGGUUUUCGGGUUGUAAACUGCUUUUGUACGGAACGAAAAGGUCUUUUCUAAUAAAGAAGACUCAUGACGGUACCGUAAGAAUAAGCACCGGCUAACUACGUG